UGCUGUUUAGAAUGGUGGUUUCCAGGUGUGCUGUUUAGAAUGGUGGUUUCCAGGUGGGCUGUUUAGAAUGGUGGUUUCCAGGUGUGUUGUUUAGAAUGGUGGUUUCCAGGUGUGCUGUUUAGAAUGGUGGUUUCCAGGUGUGCUGUUUAGAAUGGUGGUUUCCAGGUGUGCUGUUUAGAAUGGUGGUUUCCAGGUGUGCUGUUUAGAAUGGUGGUUUCCAGGUGUGCUGUUUAGAAUGGUGGUUUCCAGGUGUGCUGUUUAGAAUGGUGUUUCCCAGGUGGUCUGUUUAGAAUGGUGGUUUCCAGGUGUGCU
Molecule: long non-coding RNA, 312 nt
Organism: Oncorhynchus keta (chum salmon)
Lineage: Eukaryota; Metazoa; Chordata; Actinopteri; Salmoniformes; Salmonidae
Exons: 3
Source: RefSeq, a predicted model, not a curated record